This 356-nucleotide ribosomal RNA is filed under the name Tetracha fulginosa. RNAcentral describes it as "partial 16S ribosomal RNA". The record is from RNAcentral. Lineage: Eukaryota; Metazoa; Arthropoda; Insecta; Coleoptera; Carabidae.
AAAGGUAGCGUAAUCAUUAGUUUUUUAAUUGAAAGCUUGUAUGAAUGGUUGGACGAGGUAAAAACUGUCUUUAUUUAAUUUAAUGUAGAAUUUAACUUUUGAGUGAGAAGGCUUAAAUUUUUCUAAUAGACGAGAAGACCCUAUAGAUCUUUAUAGAUUAUUGUUGGUUAUAUUAGGGUUAUUUGAUGAUUGAUAAUGAAAUUUAUUUUAUUGGGGUAAUAUAGAGAUUUAAAAAAUUCUUUGAAUAUUAAAACAUAGAUAAGUGGUUAAUUGAUCCAUUAUUAUUGAUUAUAAGUUUAAGUUACCUUAGGGAUAACAGCGUAAUUUUUUUAGAGAGUUCAUAUCGAUAAAAGAGU